Molecule: ribosomal RNA, 103 nt
Filed under: uncultured bacterium
Lineage: Bacteria
Description: partial 16S ribosomal RNA
Source: RNAcentral
CACACCGCCCGUCACGUCAUGAAAGUUGGAGACGCCUGAAGUCGGUCAGCGAACCCGCAAGGGACGCAGCCGCCGAGGGUGGGGCCAGCGAGUUGGGAACGAA